UACGUAGGGCGCAAGCGUUGUCCGGAAUUAUUGGGCGUAAAGGGCUCGUAGGCGGUUUGUCGCGUCUGCCGUGAAAACCCGAGGCUUAACCUCGUGGCUUGCGGUGGAUACGGGCAGACUAGAGGUAGGUAGGGGAGAAUGGAAUUCCCGGUGUAGCGGUGAAAUGCGCAGAUAUCGGGAGGAACACCGGUGGCGAAGGCGGUUCUCUGGGCCUUACCUGACGCUGAGGAGCGAAAGCGUGGGGAGCGAACGGG
RNAcentral lists this ribosomal RNA (254 nucleotides) under uncultured prokaryote. RNAcentral's name for it is "partial 16S ribosomal RNA". It matches the Rfam family "Bacterial small subunit ribosomal RNA", at positions 524 to 776 of the family's 1533-position model. The record is from RNAcentral.